Non-coding RNA from Periconia macrospinosa, 71 nucleotides. NCBI's taxonomy places the organism in Eukaryota, Fungi, Ascomycota, Dothideomycetes, Pleosporales, Periconiaceae. The record is from the annotation of a GenBank genome assembly.
GCUCAGGUGGUGAAAUGGUAUCACGACACGUUGUGGCCGUGUUAUUCUGAGUUCGAUUCUCAGCCUGGGCA